This 624-nucleotide long non-coding RNA is filed under the name Rattus norvegicus (Norway rat). Its description in RNAcentral is "long non-coding RNA NONRATT028710". Lineage: Eukaryota; Metazoa; Chordata; Mammalia; Rodentia; Muridae. The record is from RNAcentral.
AAGCGUGCACGUCGGUUGUGUCGACUCGUGGCCGCCUCUAGGCUGCUUUUUAUGUGGCGACUCAACCCUAAACAUGAUGUCAUCAUGCAGGAGGGCGGGGCAGAACGCCCAGCCUACCCGAGGGCAGGAGCCCCAGGUCCAAGACAGGAUCUCACUUAUAUUGCCCAGUCUAACAUCCAGCUCUGGACUCAGUGAAAUAUCCCACUCCAACUCCAAGCACCUGUAAGUGCAGAGAAGCCUGACUGUUGUGGGAGGUGAUGUAUCUAAGAUGUACAAGGAUGUGCACUUUACCUGUGAUCUGAUGGCAUUUGCCAAGGAUGGGAAAGCCAGAAGAACCCACCUGACUCUUCGCAGGAAGUUUAUUAGGAAGACAGCCUACUUGUGAGCCCCUCAGGGAUGGCCCCCACUUCUGACAGGACCUCAGAAGACACCAAGAGUUCAGUGGACCUUCCCCUUGAAGGACACACAGAGUCCCUUCUCUUUGGACAAGAAUUUAAGGAAUGAAACUUUUCCUCAGUGCUCCAGUUAUGCUUCAAGAAUCUUCUGGGAUCCAGGCAUGAGUGGUACACACCUUUAAUCCCAGCACUAGAGAGGCAGAGGUAGAUGAUCUCUGAGGUCAAGGAG